ACAAAGAAGAGUUUGAUCCUGGCUCAGGAUGAACGCUAGCGGCAGGCUUAACACAUGCAAGUCGAGGGGCAGCGGGUUGUAGAAAUACAAUGCCGGCGACCGGCGAAAGGGUGCGUAACGCGUGAGCAACCUGCCCGUAACUGGUGGAUAAGCGAUGGAAACGUCGUCUAAUACACCAUAACAACAGAGGUGGCAUCGCCACUGUUUAAAAGUUUCGACGGUUAC
This 225-nucleotide ribosomal RNA is filed under the name Bacteroidales bacterium. Its description in RNAcentral is "partial 16S ribosomal RNA". It matches the Rfam family "Bacterial small subunit ribosomal RNA", at positions 1 to 222 of the family's 1533-position model. The record is from RNAcentral. Lineage: Bacteria; Pseudomonadati; Bacteroidota; Bacteroidia; Bacteroidales.